RNAcentral lists this ribosomal RNA (253 nucleotides) under uncultured bacterium. Its description in RNAcentral is "partial 16S ribosomal RNA". It matches the Rfam family "Bacterial small subunit ribosomal RNA", at positions 524 to 776 of the family's 1533-position model. The record is from RNAcentral.
UACGAAGGGGGCUAGCGUUGUUCGGAAUUACUGGGCGUAAAGCGCACGUAGGCGGAUUGUUAAGUUAGGGGUGAAAUCCCAGGGCUCAACCCUGGAACUGCCUUUAAUACUGGCAAUCUCGAGUCCGAGAGAGGUGAGUGGAAUUCCGAGUGUAGAGGUGAAAUUCUUAGAUAUUCGGAGGAACACCAGUGGCGAAGGCGGCUCACUGGCUCGGUACUGACGCUGAGGUGCGAAAGCGUGGGGAGCAAACAGG